GCCUUCAGUGGAUCAGGUGAGGCCCACCCGAAAGGGGAGGAUCAAUCUGCUUUACUCAGUCUACUGAUUCAAAUAUCAAUCUCAUCCAGAAAAACUCUCACGGACACACUCAGAAUAAGGUUUGGCCGAAUGUCUGGGCACUCUGUGGCCCAGUCAAGUUGACACAUAAAAUUAACCAUCACAUUGUGAUUACCACUGAGGGGUUCCAAAAUGACUUUCAGGACACAUGGACAAAUUUAGCAGCUGUGUGACCUUGGCGUCAAUUGAAUGCAACACAUAUCUAUUGAGUGCCAGUUAUGAGCUCAGUUCUGUGAAGUCAUGAAGAGGAAUGAGAAUCUCAGUUGCUGGGAGCCUCGGCUAAGGGCAGCGUGACAGGAAUCCAGUCACCUGCAUUGUGUUGACGUAGCCAUUUGCGGAAAGCCUGAGGAUUUUUACCUGGAACUGAGCCCAGCACCCCCACCUUGGGUGCCUUCAUUCAGGACCCAGACUUGGGCCAGAGGUCAGAUCUCAGCUAGGUCUAACUCCUGGCCACAGCGCAGAUCCACUUGAACAACACACACUGAGCACCUACCAUGUGCCAGAACUGUGCAAAGUGUGCACCCGGAGGUGAAUAAGACACAGCCCUUGGCCUCAGUGUGCUCUCAAUCAAGAAGCAGGCCUGUAACAAAAGAAGUCGGAGUGAUGUGAGCUGUCUUGGACUGUGCCAAGUUCAGGAAUGCAGAGGACGCAGGGAUUGCUUCUGUCUGGAGGAGGGGAGGUGGAGGCAUGUCUCCCAGCAGAGCUGAUGGCAAAUCAGGGUUUCAAAGACGGAACAACAACAACAACAAACUUGUGUGCUCUUGUGAGGUAAGCUGUACCUAUAAAAAUUUUGUACCUAUUUUUACAGAUGCUUGACAUUUACUUUUGAUUUUUCUAGAAAAGACAUGUUGAAAAAAAUUCAAUGGCAGAAUAAAUUGCAGCAAAUUAAAUAUUACAAUUUAAUUGCAAAAAGGCAAGUUAAAUUUGCAAGAUAACCAUCAUGAGACAUAAGACAGUGGUGUGUUGCUCGUGCAUUAGAAGAAUAUUUAGCAUUGUGGAAGGUCAGUAGGGAUAACUACGGAUUCAACUCCACGCUAAUGAGACCCACAGCAUUUGUACAAUAGCCUUCCUGCAUUUCUGUGUGUUUGAAACUUUAAUGACACCACCUUAAAACAUGGCCCAGAUUUCUUCCCUUUUAUAAAUCUCCUAAGUUUCGUGUCACCACUAUUUCUCAUAGGAUAACUGCAGGUGGUACGUUUAAGCAAGCUGAAAUAGAGUUACACAAGAAGUCAUUCCUGCUGUUUGUGAUCCACUUAAUUGCCAGCUUUGCUAGAUGACCCAUCAGGUAACCCCAAAACUUUUCUAAAGAAACAGAGCCAAAAUCAAGGGGCGAGAUUUGACUGUUGCCAGCAUGUCGCUGCGUUUUUCUGCCUUUCGGUACCGAUGGAUUCAUUUUCAGGCUUGCAAAGGCGGAAGGUCUUUGGCACCUUCAUCUCUCAGUUCCACAGCGAGCAGUUUCUCUAGACACAAUGGGAGUACGAAGAAGGCAAGCGGAGAAUUCUGGCUGCUAAUUAGUAAAUCUCUAUCUUAAAUUCUAUCCUAUUGGCUCUCCUCAACUCCAGGAAGUCUAAUUAGACAAUUUUCUGUCUGAUUUUCUCCCCAGAACUUAUGUGUCUUUGUAUCUUCUUAUUUCAAUGCCUAAUGAGAGGAAUUGGGUUUAUGCUUAUCAGCGGAUCUACUUGAGGUCUACAAAGCCAGUUCCGGAGUGAAAAAUCACGGGUAACAGCCCCAAUUAGGAGAAGGGGGAGUCUUUCUUCUAAAAGAACCUGAAGCAGUAGCCUGGUGACCUGUGCUUUGGCUUAGUUCUUGAUUUCAGUACCUAAGACAGAGAGGCUUUCCGACGAAACGAAUGAAAAGCCAUGAAGUAGUCUGUCCGAUGUGCUAAAGGCUUUGGAAAUGACUCAAACAUCACCACAAAGAAGAUUAUUAUAAUUGCUUCUUCUAUUGCAUUUUUAUGAGAGUAAUACCUUGUGUGGCCUAAAGAGCCCAUUAGAAAGGGUACGUUUUAAAAGACGGUCUAUGAGUGUCACAUGUUGUGUCUCAUGAAGUCACAGGUCAGAUUUUGUUUGCCUUUGUUUCGGCAUCCAGUGUCUGUUCAUCUCUCUUUUACUACCAACAAUUUGGGGAAUCCACUGUCCCCUUUUUGAGUAAAACUCCACUCUCCAACUCCAGAGUUACCCAGCUCCAUGUAACUUAAGUCAAUCAAAUCAUCGCAUGCCUUCUGGCUACCAAGAUUACUUUUUUUUUGUAAAUCCUUUUUUUUGUUUUUUUUAAGACUGGCACCUGAGCUAACAUCUGUUG
Molecule: non-coding RNA, 2379 nt
Organism: Equus caballus (horse)
Lineage: Eukaryota; Metazoa; Chordata; Mammalia; Perissodactyla; Equidae
Source: RefSeq, a predicted model, not a curated record